This 430-nucleotide long non-coding RNA is filed under the name Helianthus annuus (common sunflower). RNAcentral's name for it is "sRNA HanXRQr2_Chr15g0704391". Lineage: Eukaryota; Viridiplantae; Streptophyta; Magnoliopsida; Asterales; Asteraceae. The record is from RNAcentral.
UUUGGGAAUAGAAAGCCUCAGCUUGCUCUGAUCUAUUGGAUUAUCCACAUCAGAUUUUUCUGUCACCGCUGUAGCCACUCUGAGGGCUUUGGUUAUGUAUUCAAGCUUUUAUGCGCUAGAUCAAGACUACAAGAACUGUUUAGUUGGAUAGCCUUUGUGAUUUUAUUCAAACUGAAACAUCCUACAAUGUACCGUCUAAGGCAACAACUUCAUCUCUUUCUAUGAAGAACACUACUCUCAAACCAGAAUAGAAUAACGGAGAGUUGACAUCAUGUAAAGCAUGGGAGGAAUAGAUAUAACAAGAUUCAUGGAUCGCUUAGAGCUAUUUUUAUAUAGUAAAAUUCCUACCUGAAUACUUAUGUUGUAAACAUUUGGAAUAUGUUAUGUAUUGAACCUAUAGUUGAAGUUAUGAUAUUAUAAUUUCUACAUU